Molecule: unclassified non-coding RNA, 222 nt
Filed under: Hevea brasiliensis (rubber tree)
Lineage: Eukaryota; Viridiplantae; Streptophyta; Magnoliopsida; Malpighiales; Euphorbiaceae
Source: RNAcentral
CACAUUGAGUUUGAAAGACAAGAUCUGCAUGGUCAGGACAAGACAAUUAUUUCCCUAUAACAAUUAUGUAUUGUAUGUGAAGACGCACACCUACUGGUUCAUAAGCUUGAAUACAUCAUACUUGUACUCAUACCUAACUAAGCUUAUCAAUUGAUCAUGCAAAUAAAAAUCCAAUAUUGAGAAGCACAGAAUGAUGACUAAAAAUGUGUGUGUGUGUGUGUG